Molecule: transfer RNA, 64 nt
Filed under: Dipodomys ordii (Ord's kangaroo rat)
Lineage: Eukaryota; Metazoa; Chordata; Mammalia; Rodentia; Heteromyidae
Rfam family: tRNA
About the family: Transfer RNA (tRNA) molecules are approximately 80 nucleotides in length. Their secondary structure includes four short double-helical elements and three loops (D, anti-codon, and T loops). Further hydrogen bonds mediate the characteristic L-shaped molecular structure. tRNAs have two regions of fundamental functional importance: the anti-codon, which is responsible for specific mRNA codon recognition, and the 3' end, to which the tRNAs corresponding amino acid is attached (by aminoacyl-tRNA synthetases). tRNAs cope with the degeneracy of the genetic code in two manners: having more than one tRNA (with a specific anti-codon) for a particular amino acid; and 'wobble' base-pairing, i.e. permitting non-standard base-pairing at the 3rd anti-codon position.
Source: Rfam by way of RNAcentral
GGUGGCUCAGUGGUAGAGUGCUUGCCUUGCAUGCAUGAGGCCCUGGGUUCAAUUCUCAGCACCA